UCAGUGGUGAUUCAGUGGUAGAAUUCUUGCCUUCCAUGCAGGAAACGUGGGUUCGACUCCUGGCCAAUGCA
RNAcentral lists this transfer RNA (71 nucleotides) under Loxodonta africana (African savanna elephant). It matches the Rfam family "tRNA". From Rfam's summary of the family: Transfer RNA (tRNA) molecules are approximately 80 nucleotides in length. The record is from Rfam by way of RNAcentral. Lineage: Eukaryota; Metazoa; Chordata; Mammalia; Proboscidea; Elephantidae.